GCCACAGCAAGGGUCGCUUGAAGUGAACCCGGGCUGAGGCAUCACAGCCAGCAGGGAGGGAGAACAGGGACUGAGGAAAAGUAAUAUCAACAUCAACAUAUGAAAGAAGCCAGUUGGCUCGUGAAUGGGAGAGAAAGACGGAAAACGCUUCCUCACCAGAGCUACAUGUAACACGCUUGAGAAAACCUCACGCCAUGGAAACGAGAGAGUGCUGUAGAAAUGACCUAAAAGAAAGCAGCUUUAUUCUCGAGACAGAAAAACCAGCAUGCUGGGGUCCACCCAAAGUGGUGUUGACCAUGGGGAAAGCUUCCUGAGCCUUGGUGCUUUUGAUGAAAACAUCUUAUUUAGGACUGGUUGUUCCAAAGUCUGCCACUCUCUGCACAUUGCCCCGUUGUGAACAGAACACCAACAGCACAGGCACUAAGAACAACAAUUACAGCCCCAGAUGGAGGCAAGGUGCCCAGCAGAGGAGAGCCUCAGAACACAGUGCCAUCUGCUUCAGGAUACAAGCCAUUGGACGCUUGGUCUGUCCAGGACAGGGGCCUCAGAGGCAAGAAGCCCUUACUAAGUGGUGUGAUGAGGAAUAAAGCAUCUAUUAAUAAGGUGCUUUUAGACUUGAUUCUAGCCCCAUUAAACUUUUAUUUUUCUAACCUUAUUUUAUACCCCAUUUCCAAAGCACUUGCUAUGGGGAACCCAUCAGAAAUGACUACUCAGAUACAGUUUAUAGCCAAUUGAAGGUCUUUCUUUAUUCCUGAGUGAGGUAUUCCAGACCCAGAAAGAUAAAUAUGGCAUGUAUUUAUUUACAUGAGGAUAUUAGUUGUUAAAUCAAUGAUAACAAA
Peromyscus maniculatus bairdii (prairie deer mouse) is the source of this 839-nucleotide non-coding RNA. The record is from RefSeq and is a predicted model, not a curated record. Lineage: Eukaryota; Metazoa; Chordata; Mammalia; Rodentia; Cricetidae.